GAACGCUGGCGGCAUGCUUUACACAUGCAAGUCGAACGGCAGCACGGGCUUCGGCCUGGUGGCGAGUGGCGAACGGGUGAGUAAUAUAUCGGAACGUACCCAGAAGUGGGGGAUAACGUAGCGAAAGUUACGCUAAUACCGCAUACGAUCUACGGAUGAAAGUGGGGGACCUUCGGGCCUCAUGCUUUUGGAGCGGCCGAUAUCUGAUUAGCUAGUUGGUAGGGUAAAGGCCUACCAAGGCGACGAUCAGUAGCUGGUCUGAGAGGACGACCAGCCACACUGGAACUGAGACACGGUCCAGACUCCUACGGGAGGCAGCAGUGGGGAAUUUUGGACAAUGGGCGCAAGCCUGAUCCAGCAAUGCCGCGUGAGUGAAGAAGGCCUUCGGGUUGUAAAGCUCUUUUGUCAGGGAAGAAACGGCUGAGAAUAAUACUCUUGGCUAAUGACGGUACCUGAAGAAUAAGCACCGGCUAACUACGUGCCAGCAGCCGCGGUAAUACGUAGGGUGCAAGCGUUAAUCGGAAUUACUGGGCGUAAAGCGUGCGCAGGCGGUUUUGUAAGUCUGAUGUGAAAGCCCCGGGCUCAACCUGGGAAUUGCAUUGGAGACUGCAAGGCUUGAAUCUGGCAGAGGGGGGUAGAAUUCCACGUGUAGCAGUGAAAUGCGUAGAGAUGUGGAGGAACACCGAUGGCGAAGGCAGCCCCCUGGGUCAAGAUUGACGCUCAUGCACGAAAGCGUGGGGAGCAAACAGGAUUAGAUACCCUGGUAGUCCACGCCCUAAACGAUGUCUACUAGUUGUCGGGUUUUAAUUAACUUGGUAACGCAGCUAACGCGUGAAGUAGACCGCCUGGGGAGUACGGUCGCAAGAUUAAAACUCAAAGGAAUUGACGGGGACCCGCACAAGCGGUGGAUGAUGUGGAUUAAUUCGAUGCAACGCGAAAAACCUUACCUACCCUUGACAUGGAAGGAAUCCUGGAGAGAUCUGGGAGUGCCCGAAAGGGAACCUUCACACAGGUGCUGCAUGGCUGUCGUCAGCUCGUGUCGUGAGAUGUUGGGUUAAGUCCCGCAACGAGCGCAACCCUUGUCGUUA
Molecule: ribosomal RNA, 1088 nt
Filed under: Massilia sp.
Lineage: Bacteria; Pseudomonadati; Pseudomonadota; Betaproteobacteria; Burkholderiales; Oxalobacteraceae
Description: bacterial SSU rRNA
Rfam family: Bacterial small subunit ribosomal RNA
Source: RNAcentral